UACAGAGGGGGCAAGCGUUGUUCGGAAUUACUGGGCGUAAAGGGCGCGUAGGCGGCCCGCUAAGUCGAACGUGAAAUCCCCGAGCUCAACUCGGGAACUGCGUCCGAUACUGGCGGGCUUGAAUCCGGGAGAGGGAUGCGGAAUUCCAGGUGUAGCGGUGAAAUGCGUAGAUAUCGGGAGGAACACCGGUGGCGAAGGCGGCGACCUGGGUCGAGACUGACGCUGAGGCGCGAAAGCGUGGGUAGCAAACAGG
This 253-nucleotide ribosomal RNA is filed under the name uncultured bacterium. Its description in RNAcentral is "partial 16S ribosomal RNA". It matches the Rfam family "Bacterial small subunit ribosomal RNA", at positions 524 to 776 of the family's 1533-position model. The record is from RNAcentral.